This 253-nucleotide ribosomal RNA is filed under the name uncultured bacterium. RNAcentral's name for it is "partial 16S ribosomal RNA". It matches the Rfam family "Bacterial small subunit ribosomal RNA", at positions 524 to 776 of the family's 1533-position model. The record is from RNAcentral.
GACGAACCGUGCGAACGUUGUUCGGAAUCACUGGGCUUAAAGGGCGCGUAGGCGGACUGUCAAGUCUGGGGUGAAAUGCCGCGGCUCAACCGUGGAACUGCCUUAGAUACUGACGGCCUCGAGGAAGGUAGGGGCAUGCGGAACUGUAGGUGGAGCGGUGAAAUGCGUUGAUAUCUACAGGAACUCCGGUGGCGAAAGCGGCGUGCUGGACCUUUUCUGACGCUGAGGCGCGAAAGCUAGGGGAGCAAACGGG